AACGAACGCUGGCGGCAGGCCUAACACAUGCAAGUCGAGCGAGGACUUCGGUUCUAGCGGCGGACGGGUGAGUAACGCGUGGGAAUGUGCCCUUCUCUACGGAAUAGCCCUGGGAAACUGGGAGUAAUACCGUAUACGCCCUAUUGGGGAAAGAUUUAUCGGAGAAGGAUCAGCCCGCGUUGGAUUAGGUAGUUGGUGGGGUAAUGGCCUACCAAGCAGACGAUCCAUAGCUGGUUUGAGAGGAUGAUCAGCCACACUGGGACUGAGACACGGCCCAGACUCCUACGGGAGGCAGCAGUGGGGAAUCUUAGACAAUGGGGGCAACCCUGAUCUAGCCAUGCCGCGUGAGUGAUGAAGGCCUUAGGGUUGUAAAGCUCUUUCAGCUGGGAAGAUAAUGACGGUACCAGCAGAAGAAGCCCCGGCUAACUCCGUG
This 433-nucleotide ribosomal RNA is filed under the name uncultured bacterium. Its description in RNAcentral is "partial 16S ribosomal RNA". It matches the Rfam family "Bacterial small subunit ribosomal RNA", at positions 29 to 507 of the family's 1533-position model. The record is from RNAcentral.